Molecule: ribosomal RNA, 777 nt
Filed under: uncultured Neocallimastigales
Lineage: Eukaryota; Fungi; Neocallimastigomycota; Neocallimastigomycetes; Neocallimastigales
Description: partial large subunit ribosomal RNA
Rfam family: Eukaryotic large subunit ribosomal RNA
Source: RNAcentral
UAUCUCUGUAGAGUCUGCAUAUCAAUAAGCGGAGGAAAAGAAACUGACUAGGAUUCCCUCAGUAACGGCGAGUGAAGCGGGAAGAGCUCAAAUUUGAAAUCUUCAAGGUUUUACCUUGACGAAUUGUAGUUUAAAGAAGUGUUUUCUGUUGGAGUUUUGGUAAAAGUUCUUUGGAAAUAGGACAUCAUAGAGGGUGAGAAUCCCGUAUUUGACCAGUUACUUUCCAGCUGUGUGAUACACUUUCAAAGAGUCGGAUUGUUUGGGAAUGCAGUCCAAAAUGGGUGGUAAAUUUCAUCUAAAGCUAAAUAUUGGCGAGAGACCGAUAGCGAACAAGUACCGUGAGGGAAAGAUGAAAAGAACCUUGAAAAGAGAGUUAAACAGUACGUGAAAUUGUCAAAAGGGAAGCGUUUGACACCAGUGUUGUUUUCUCGAAAAUCAAUUAAAAAUGGCGGGAUGUUGUGUUGUAUUGACUUUAUCAGCUUUCUGCACUUUUUUCCUGUCUUUUUUAAUGCACUUUUCGUUUAACAAGUCAACAUCAAUUUCUUUUGUUGUAAAAGGGUCAUUGGAAGGUGGCUUUCUUUUCGGAGAAAGUGUUUAUAGCCUUUGGCCUCUGCAAUCGGAGAGAUUGAGGUCUGCAGCGUAGAUCCUUCGGGGUUAGAUGCAUUUGUGCUAAGCUAUAGCCUUUCAUAGACAACUUGUUGACUAUGAUCAGUCAUGUAGCUUACUCGCUUAUGCUAUUUUACCUACGCUUAGGAUGUUGAGUAGCGACAUACGCAC